This 66-nucleotide transfer RNA is filed under the name Salminus brasiliensis (dorado). RNAcentral's name for it is "tRNA-Cys". It matches the Rfam family "tRNA". From Rfam's summary of the family: Transfer RNA (tRNA) molecules are approximately 80 nucleotides in length. Lineage: Eukaryota; Metazoa; Chordata; Actinopteri; Characiformes; Bryconidae. The record is from RNAcentral.
GGCCUUGUGGUGUAAAGCACGUUAGAUUGCAAACCUAAAAGCGUAGGUUGCCCCCUGCCUGGGUCU